UACAGAGGGUGCGAGCGUUAAUCGGAAUCACUGGGCGUAAAGGGUGCGUAGGUGGUCAAAUAAGUCAGAUGUGAAAUCCCUGGGCUCAACCUAGGCAUUGCAUUUGGUACUGUUUGGCUAGAGUGCAGUAGAGGAAUGUGGAAUUUCCGGUGUAGCGGUGAAAUGCGUAGAUAUCGGAAGGAACAUCAGUGGCGAAGGCGACAUUCUGGACUGUAACUGGCACUGAGGCACGAAAGCGUGGGGAGCGAACAGG
This 253-nucleotide ribosomal RNA is filed under the name uncultured bacterium. RNAcentral's name for it is "partial 16S ribosomal RNA". It matches the Rfam family "Bacterial small subunit ribosomal RNA", at positions 524 to 776 of the family's 1533-position model. The record is from RNAcentral.